UUCUCUCGCCACAGAUGACGACAUCAGAAAAACUACCGAAUGGGCAGCUUCCCAUCCGGUCCAUAAACACACCUUGAAGAGUGCCGAUGAACAUGUCUGUCAACUCCCUUUCCAGCAUAGGGGGUUGAACUCUCGCAGCAAGCUCACGCCAUCUCUGGGCGUACUCUUUAAAGCUCUCGUUGUUUUUCUGGCACAGACUCUGCAGCUGAGUCCGGCUAGGUGCCAUGUCCAUGUUAUGUUUGUA
RNAcentral lists this long non-coding RNA (244 nucleotides) under Lathyrus oleraceus (garden pea). RNAcentral's name for it is "Pisum sativum (pea) long non-coding RNA (PSAT_LNC040960)". The record is from RNAcentral. Lineage: Eukaryota; Viridiplantae; Streptophyta; Magnoliopsida; Fabales; Fabaceae.